RNAcentral lists this long non-coding RNA (1853 nucleotides) under Vulpes vulpes (red fox). Its description in RNAcentral is "lncRNA (ENSVVUG00000001764.1)". Lineage: Eukaryota; Metazoa; Chordata; Mammalia; Carnivora; Canidae. The record is from RNAcentral.
UUUUUUUUUUUCUUUUAUUUUCUGUGUGGUUUUCAAGUAGGCUUUGACCUUCUGUUGGAGUAUUCUGGAAAGUUUCAACAACUGAAACGUAAACAUGGAUAUUAGGAGAUGAAAACCCAUGCUAGCAACUCCUCAAGCUUCCCAGCUGCUGCACCGCACCCCAGAUAGCAUGCUGCUUUGCCUUCUUUCUAGUUCCCGAGAAAGUUUAGCAGUCCUUGUGAUAAAGUCUGAGGAAGGAUGGGGCCCGGGGCUCUGUCUCCAUAGGAAAAAGCCCACUGUCACCGGAGGAAAAAGCCACAUAAGUCACGGAUGCAGAUGCCCUCGGGGACACAGCCAGGCUGCAGUCCUGCCAGGAAGCACGGCAGACAGCCAUCCAGCACCAACCCACAAGUCAGCAGCUCUCAGAGAUGGUUACUGAGUUUUACAGGCAUUGCUCCCUCCUGAAUGCAGCAUUGGAUUGUGAAAGACCACAACCACAUGGGGUUUGGACAUGGCAGGUCCCUCAGAACUGCUAAGAUCAGAGAUCUACUUAUUCCUACCCUCUGCUACCCUAGCAACAAAUGCUCUUAGAACGGUUAGCCACUGACUCUUCGCCCCUUAAGACACUUACUUAAGUUUCUGUCUUUUCCUUUUUUUCUGCCUCCUUUGACUGCUGAGAUUCACUAACAACAGGAUGUUCUAACAUCAUCUCCAUUGCCACACUUGGGAGAAUGAGCCCUAAAAGCAGGUGUAAGUGGGUGUGACUUGGUCUGUGGGUCAAGUGCGUGAAUCUGGACACCUGCAUUUUGUCCACCGAGUGACCUUUCCCUCACCUGUGUGGGGGGAUGAGGAUGGUUGCUGGGAGAAGUUAUUUUCAUAGCUCUACCUUACCUGGCUCUGACUGAAUCCCAGUCUAACACCAAUUUAGCAAGCUGUUUCCUCUGUUUUUGGAUGUUGGGGAUCUCCAGCUAGAAAACACAAACCACACAUGAAAUAGGAUGAGCUUUGGUUUUUAAACUUAACAUUUGAAAGGGUAUAAUUACUUUUUUUUUUUCCCUCUCAGGCAUAAGAUUUUGUACCCACCAUUUAUUCCCCUUCUUUCUAAAAAGAAGCAUAUGUCAAAGCCGCUGAUUACUGUUAAAACUGUAGACACAAGCAAACCAUUCAUCAUGCGUCCCCCACCAAUCGUGGCUCUCCUGUGUGGCCCGGUGAAAGAACUCACCUCUGCUAUGUUGCACAGAGGAUCCACAAUCUCUUUCUCAAUGAAGGAUUCAUGCUGAGUAAGUUCGAGAGCCAGCUGAUUCUCAGCAUCCCCACAUGUCUCCAGCAUCUUCCUUUAAAAACACAAGACACCCCCACAACAAGCGUAUGCUCAGUAAGUCAGGUAGGUCAGUACCGUAUCGGGCCAGUGCUGCUCACUACAGGAUGGGAACACAUUACGGUGCCACACAGUAGAACCUUAAAAACAUUAGAAGUUUGGGGUGUCACCCAAAAUGUGAGUCCACAGAUCUGUGCUUUAUUUUUACUUUUUAAAAGAUUUUAUUUAUUUAUUCAUGAGUGACACAGAGAGAGAAGCGGAGACACAGGCACAGGGGGAAGCGGGCUCCCCCUGGGGAGGACUCAAUCCCAGGACCCCAGUCUCACUCCAUGAGCCAAAGGCAGAUGCUCAACCACUGGGCCACCCAGGCAUACCCAGAUCUGUGCUUUAAAAUCAAAACGACUGUUCAUGGGCAUUAUCAAAUGUGUCUUAUGCAUCCGUUAAACUGAUAACUAUAUUGCUGGGUUAAUGUUUCAUCUGUUGCUAUAAAACAUUAAAUUUAUUAAAUCUUUAAAAAAUGAAUAAAUAAAAUGAAAAGGACUAUCGUGGGUAUACU